Molecule: non-coding RNA, 45 nt
Filed under: Trichobilharzia regenti
Lineage: Eukaryota; Metazoa; Platyhelminthes; Trematoda; Strigeidida; Schistosomatidae
Source: RNAcentral
AUCCAGAUGAAGAGUCUCAAAUAGGACGAAAAGCGCAUCCUGGAC